UACAUGUAGUUAUGAGUUGACUCCACCCUCUAGCAAUUCUAUCCACACAAGUGCUAAACUCCUUCACUCUAGUCUCCAAAAUAACUGUAAAACUAAUAUGAAAUCUCCUCAAAUAUCUCCCUAGUUCUCUUUCUUUAGAAGCCCUGUUCAUGCCUCUAACAUUCCAUACUAGACUUUUCAUAGAGAAAUAUGGCUUCUCUCCCCCUCUGGGGGUCGACCAGAUACAUCCAGGCCCAAAGCUCUCCAAUGUUAUAGCUUAAAGUAAAUUCUUGAAUCUCAAUCUCUCCCCAAGAGGAACUGGAAAAAGUUGAUGAGACCAUUACGCCUUUUGAAGAUGUUACUUAAUACUCUUAACCUAAAUUCAUUAGCAGAGUUGAUGGUCUUAUUGUGGUCAUUUCUACUUAAUAUAUACUUUGGAGCACCAUUGCUACGUACGUACUUUUCUCCUUGUAGCCUUUAAAAAGUAUUUACUCAAGUAGAAUUAUGAUAAGCUAGCAAUGAAAUGUGAUUAAGUGAUGACAUCG
Molecule: long non-coding RNA, 524 nt
Organism: Capsicum annuum
Lineage: Eukaryota; Viridiplantae; Streptophyta; Magnoliopsida; Solanales; Solanaceae
Exons: 2
Source: RefSeq, a predicted model, not a curated record